CGCAAAGAUUGGUUAUCUAUAUUGAUGGUUGUUACUUCUGCUCGUUCUUCUAUAAACAUCCGACAUUUGGAAAAGGCUACAGUGUCUACUGGAAAGGAAGGGCUAUUAUCGGAAGGAAAUUCUGCAUACAACUGGUCCAGGUGUGUUGAUGAGCUUGAAUACCUGUUAUCUAAACAUGGGAGUCUAAAGAAGCUUUACUUCUAUCACCAACACCUUACAACAGUUUUCCGUAAUACUAUGUUUGGUCCAGAAGGUCGUCCACAACAUUGCUGUGCAUGGCUUGGUGUCGCCAGUAGUUUUCCUGAAUGCGCUUCUUCAAUAGUCCCCGAAGAGGUAACUAAAAUUGGUCGUGAUGCGGUUCUUUAUGUUGAAUCCCUGAUUGAAUCUAUCAUGGGAGGUCUGGAAGGGUUGAUAAAUAUUCUCGACUCGGAAGGGGGAUUUGGCUCUUUAGAGUUGCAGCUUUUUCCAG
RNAcentral lists this unclassified non-coding RNA (469 nucleotides) under Hevea brasiliensis (rubber tree). The record is from RNAcentral. Lineage: Eukaryota; Viridiplantae; Streptophyta; Magnoliopsida; Malpighiales; Euphorbiaceae.